Long non-coding RNA from Oncorhynchus tshawytscha (Chinook salmon), 635 nucleotides. The record is from Ensembl. NCBI's taxonomy places the organism in Eukaryota, Metazoa, Chordata, Actinopteri, Salmoniformes, Salmonidae.
GUUUACGACUGGUUUAUAAAUCAUGUUACCUACACAGACCUCAUUAGUUAGGACAAGGUUUAUGACUGGUUUAUAAAUCAUGUUAUCCACACAGACCUCAUUAGUUAGGACAAGGUUUACGACUGGUUUAUAAAACAUGUUACCUACACAGACCUCAUUAGUUAGGACAAGGUUUACGACUGGGUUAUAAAUCAUGUUAUCCACACAGACCUCAUUAGUUAGGACAAGGUUUACGACUGGUUUAUAAAUCAUGUUACCUACACAGACCUCAUUAGUUAGGACAAGGUUUAUGACUGGUUUAUAAAUCAUGUUAUCCACACAGACCUCAUUAGUUAGGACAAGGUUUACGACUGGUUUAUAAGUCAUCUUACCUACACAGACCUCAUUAGUUAGGACAAGGUUUACGAAUGGUUUAUAAGUCAUGUUAUCUACACAGACAUCAUUAGGACAGGGUUUACGACUGGUUUAUAAAUCAUGUUAUCUACACAGACAUUAGUUAGGACAAGGUUUACGACUGGUUUAUAAAUCAUGUUAUCUACACAGACAUCAUUAGUUAGGACAAGGUUUACGAAUGGUUUAUAAGUCAUGUUAUCUACACAGACAUUAGUUAGGACAAGGUUUACGACUGGUUUAUA